Molecule: ribosomal RNA, 405 nt
Filed under: uncultured bacterium
Lineage: Bacteria
Description: bacterial SSU rRNA
Rfam family: Bacterial small subunit ribosomal RNA
Source: RNAcentral
GUGGGGAAUCUUGGACAAUGGGCGCAAGCCUGAUCCAGCCAUGCCGCGUGAGUGAAGAAGGCCUUCGGGUUGUAAACCUCUUUCACCGGUGAAGAUAAUGACGGUAGCCGGAGAAGAAGCCCCGGCUAACUCCGUGCCAGCAGCCGCGGUAAUACGGAGGGGGCUAGCGUUGUUCGGAAUUACUGGGCGUAAAGCGCGCGUAGGCGGCAUGGCAAGUUGGGCGUGAAAGCCCGGGGCUCAACCCCGGAUGUGCGCCUAAAACUACCAAGCUAGAGGCCGAGAGAGGGUGGCGGAAUUCCCAGUGUAGAGGUGAAAUUCGUAGAUAUUGGGAAGAACACCAGUGGCGAAGGCGGCCACCUGGCUCGGUUCUGACGCUGAGGUGCGAAAGCGUGGGGAGCAAACAGG